UACGAAGGGGGCUAGCGUUGCUCGGAAUUACUGGGCGUAAAGGGCGCGUAGGCGGUUUGCACAGUCAGGCGUGAAAUUCCCGGGCUUAACCUGGGGGCUGCGUUUGAUACUCGCAGACUAGAGGAUGGAAGAGGGUCGUGGAAUUCCCAGUGUAGAGGUGAAAUUCGUAGAUAUUGGGAAGAACACCGGUGGCGAAGGCGGCGACCUGGUCCAUUACUGACGCUGAGGCGCGACAGCGUGGGGAGCAAACAGG
RNAcentral lists this ribosomal RNA (253 nucleotides) under uncultured Roseomonas sp. RNAcentral describes it as "partial 16S ribosomal RNA". It matches the Rfam family "Bacterial small subunit ribosomal RNA", at positions 524 to 776 of the family's 1533-position model. Lineage: Bacteria; Pseudomonadati; Pseudomonadota; Alphaproteobacteria; Acetobacterales; Roseomonadaceae. The record is from RNAcentral.